Molecule: small nuclear RNA, 199 nt
Organism: Oncorhynchus mykiss (rainbow trout)
Lineage: Eukaryota; Metazoa; Chordata; Actinopteri; Salmoniformes; Salmonidae
Gene: U1
Rfam family: U1 spliceosomal RNA
About the family: U1 is a small nuclear RNA (snRNA) component of the spliceosome (involved in pre-mRNA splicing). Its 5' end forms complementary base pairs with the 5' splice junction, thus defining the 5' donor site of an intron.
Source: Ensembl
AAACUUACCUGGCAAGGGAGAUACCGUGAUCAAGAAGGCGGUUCACCCAGGGUGAAUCGUCAAUUUUCACCUCUGAAGGUGUCUGAGUAAUCCUCAGUCAUUGCACUCCCGCUGUGCUGACCCCUGCGAAUUUCCCAAAUGUGGAAAUCUCGAUUGCAUAAUUUCUGGUAGUGGGGGACUGCGUUCGCGCUCUCCCCUG